CCUACGGGUGGCAGCAGUCGAGAAUCAUUCACAAUGGGGGAAACCCUGAUGGUGCGACGCCGCGUGGGGGAAUGAAGGUCUUCGGAUUGUAAACCCCUGUCAUGUGGGAGCAAAUUAAAAAGAUAGUACCACAAGAGGAAGAGACGGCUAACUCUGUGCCAGCAGCCGCGGUAAUACAGAGGGCUCAAGCGUUGUUCGGAAUCACUGGGCGUAAAGCGUGCGUAGGCUGUUUCGUAAGUCGUGUGUGAAAGGCGCGGGCUCAACCCGCGGACGGCACAUGAUACUGCGAGACUAGAGUAAGGGAGGGGGAACCGGAAUUCUCGGUGUAGCAGUGAAAUGCGUAGAUAUCGAGAGGAACACUCGUGGCGAAGGCGGGUUCCUGGACAGUAACUGACGCUGAGGCACGAAGGCCAGGGGAGCGAAAGGGAUUAGAUACCCUUGUAGUC
Molecule: ribosomal RNA, 446 nt
Filed under: uncultured bacterium
Lineage: Bacteria
Description: partial 16S ribosomal RNA
Rfam family: Bacterial small subunit ribosomal RNA
Source: RNAcentral